UGGCGCCAAGCUUCUGGCAUUCUCUAUGACAAGAGAGUGCCACAAAAGCUAAAAGGCAAGUUCUACAGGACGGCGGUUCGACCCGCAAUGUUGUAUGGCGCUGAGUGUUGGCCGACUAAAAGGCGACAUGUUCAACAGUUAGGUGUGGCGGAGAUGCGUAUGUUGAGAUGGAUGUGUGGCCACACGAGGAAGGAUCGAGUCCGGAAUGAUGAUAUACGAGAUAGAGUUGGGGUAGCACCAAUUGAAGAGAAGCUUGUCCAACAUCGUCUGAGAUGGUUUGGGCAUAUCCAGCGCAGGCCUCCAGAAGCUCCAGUGCAUAGCGGAUGGCUA
Molecule: ribosomal RNA, 330 nt
Filed under: Triticum aestivum (bread wheat)
Lineage: Eukaryota; Viridiplantae; Streptophyta; Magnoliopsida; Poales; Poaceae
Description: partial small subunit ribosomal RNA
Source: RNAcentral